ACGCGCCCGCCUCGCGUUCUGAGCCGGAGCGAGAGGCGCUUCAGAGAAGGAGGGACCGAUCUGCAGGAGCCGGCCGCCCAGCCGAGCUGCAGUCGCCGCCGCUGCUGCCGCCGCUGUUGCUGUCAGAGCCCGUCCGAAGAGUGACACCUUCGCGAAAAACAGGAGCUACGAAACAGUUGCACACGCAGUCUUCGGAUCUCUGGUCACCAUUCAUGAGCCCGAGGCUGUGAGACAUGCUCCAUGUGCCAAGGGGAGUUCUCACCAAAUCUUCUGAGACUGUCCUAGACAUACGCUGUUCGGACUGAGUCAGCAUUACCAGCUUAUCCAAGAGAAGUACCAUCCUAUUCAUUAACAACGUCGAAAGUAGCCUACUUUAAGAGGAAAUAUGCAGAAGAAGAAGAUUUACAUCAAGAUUACCAUGGGUGUUUUCCAAAACACUUGAUAUUACCCGAAGACAGGACCUGUAUCCUCAAACUUUCCCUGGAGAAGCUCAGGUUUCUUGAAGACCCAGAAACCUACUUAAGAAGGUCUGUGUUAAUUAACAAUUUGCUGAGGAAGAUACACCUAGAGACGGAGAAAGAGAGCUAUGAAUACUUUAAGGAAUCCCCCUCCUAUAAGACUGCUUAUUCGGAUACAAGAAAACGGCUGAAGUUUAUGGUACAGGAGUGCUGUUCCCAGUCUCUCUACUAUGAAGAGCUGCAUUCCUACCACAUUGUGCCUUAUACUUCGGAGAACCCCAUCUACGGGAUGGGCUACACUGGUGACCACUUGGAGCAAAAUUCUCAGUUGCUUAUUUAUAAAAUGAAUUAAAGUAACUGCUAAGUUCGUUGAUAUUUUGUUUCUACAUGCCUGAACUGUUUAUAGUGAAGAUGUUAAUAUACGACACUAAUUACCAGUGCACUUGAUCUCAGUGAUGAGAUGCAUGCCGAACCGAGGGGAGAAAACCAUGGGUGUUACCCAGCAAUCCUUAGUGCCAUCGCAUUGAAUGGAAAAUAUACCCACUUUAUCAGAAAGCAGUGAAUUGAUGCAUUAGGAGAAAAGGUUUUUUAAUUUUUUUUUUUUUUUUGAGAUAGGAAGGGAUUGAUCUCUGGUCAAUCUGUUAGGUUAAAAUUCUUAAGUCACCCCCCCUCCUACCUAAAUUCUGCCACUCUUAUUGAAAUUAUAUAUAUAUAUAUAUAUAUAUAUAUAUAUAUAUAUAAUUGAUAAUGCUGUGGCCCUGAGGACAAGGGGUGGAAUUAAUCUAAUUGUAUUUACACAGUGAGAGUUCUGUCCUUUCAGAAAUUUUUUGGCUUGCCAAACACUGUGCCAAAUGGUUUGCCGUUAGUAUCCUUUAGCCAUGAGUUAAAGAUGGGACCAGCAUGGCAUAUACUGAAGCUUCCUUGCUCAGUGUAGCAACUGGGUUACCACAAGCUCAUCCACUUUCUUCUUUUUGUUGAUGAUUCUUAUAAUCUGAACAGACUUUCUCUUUAAGAAUGAAAUGUAAUAAGUUAGCAUCGCAUAUAGGAUCAUCUUUAAGUUCUACGGGUUGGUUAAAAUUUGUGCUGGGCCUUUAAGAGUUUAAAUUUUAUUUAUGAUCUUACUUUUUUUUAUAGGCUGUGAAGCUCAGGAAAGGGUGGGCAGGCAAAAUAUGUUUUUAAUAGGGUAAUAUUUUUUUUAAAAACCUGCUCUGGAAAGUUGGCGAGGAUAACAGAAUUUAGACGUGAUGUUAUUUCUUCAUCCCGCUAAGAGCUCACAGAAGGUACCGGGAUGAAGCACGGCACUGGUUUUUGAACAGUAGUCAAUCACUUACCACGUCACAAAAUGUCCGAGAAUGCCUUUGGGGAGAGAUGUGGAUAAGUUCUUAUGUUUUGCAGUUCUAAGGGUGAAGAUGUAACACGUUGGAUAGGUUUAUGAAGUUGUUGGGAGUGAUUCAUCGUGUUCUGGAGGUGUGAGUGAGAUGUCUGACCUCAGGGUCUGAAGCUUUUGUCCUGUGGAGUAUUUCAUUUAAAGAACUGUUAUUGAUAAAAAAACAGAUUGGGAAAACUAGGUGCCAAAGGUGUAUUAAGAAAAUACCAAAGACUCAAAGAUGAGUGUUAGGGAGACUCUGAUAGUGAAGGCCAGCCAAGACAAGGUUCUGAUCCAAGGACUGCAUGGGUAAUGUGGAAACAUUGUUAAGGGCUUCAUAAUGACUCGUUUACUGGUGUGCUUCCUAGUGCUUUGUUCAGAAUGACGGCCAACAGGAAUAUGAUGCUAAAUUCAGAUAUCAAGCUUUCGUAACGCAAAUAUGGCAACUGUCAGCACAGUGUCACCCCUAGCUGAAGAGCCGUCUUGUAACCAGGCUGGCUGCAUCUUCCUUUGCUUUUAUUUUUGGUACCACAUUUGGUCCCUAUGAUGAAUCACCAAGGUGAUUUUGCACUAAGAACAUGGGCUCUCUAACUAGAUUGCCCUGUGCAAGACUACCAAGAUACACAAUAGGUCCAAGUGUUGAGUUUAUUUUUAAUUGCUCAAUCAACAUUAUGAAAAGUGCUUUAGAAUAAUGUACAAUGUGUAAUAAGGGGCAAAGGUGUACAGACAAGUUAGUAUGAAUGGCGAGAUGCCUUUGAAAUCCAUAUAGAAAUAUUUAAAAAUUAGUUGGAGAGUAAGAUUUGGCACAAAAGUUUAAUAGUUUUAGUUCAUUGCUUAUAAAAGACCCCUUUUCUCAGAAAACUCCUUCCAAAAAGAUAGAUUUAUUUAAAAGUGAGUCUAGUCCCAAACUCCAAAUUUGAUAGGAUAAUUAUGCCAUCAUAAGUCUAAAAAUAGAACCAGUUAUCUGAUGACUUUUAAAUUGUUACUGAAAGAACACCUGGCAUGACUUACAGCAGCCCCUCUAGGAAGAGGCCACCAAUGCUAACAGGUAUGACAUUUUUUAAAAAAAACACAUGUUAAAAUUGGUUAAAUAUAGAAAUACACGUAUUUGGGGAUAGAAGAGAAAAAAAAUCAUCGAUAAAGUGUAAAUUUGUAAUAUUUCCUGUAUGUCAGAAACCUUAAUCAAAGACAGAACUCUGGGACAAAGAACCAGUAACAGAUGUAAAAUUCAUUUUAUUUCAAGACAUCAUUACUGGAGCGCUUUGAUCUACACACUCUUAUAUAAGCUGUCUUAGAAGCCAGUGGUAUUUGUGAUUCUACUUUUAUUUAAAUAUGCAUUGAUUUAAAAACAAAUUAUUUAAAAAUACCUUUUAGUGCAAAUAAUUUCCCCCAAUAAACUGCUCAUAGAUAAGGAUUUGACAAGUGUUAUCUUGAUUUUUGUUUUAAACUUGUAUUUAAAUUCUGCAGACUUGCCCAAGUUAGCCAGUGGAUGAUUGUGAUUUUACCAGGACCAGCUGGGAUAUAGGGAGAUUCCAUCCAUGUUUGCUCUGCUCGUGACCUGUAUGUUCCACUAUGGAUGGUGCCAACACCAGUUAUAGAUCUUCUGACUUUAGGCAUCCUUUCUCUGGUGACAGAAACCAUCCUUAGGGUAGGGAAACUGGGAUGAGAAAUCUAAGUGUACGUAUUGUACUGCUUAUUCCUGCAGGUACCAUAAAGAUACCCUAGCCCAAAAGAACACACACACACAUACACACACACACACACACACACACACACACACACACAUAUGAAUGCAUGUACACACACAGACAAAUACAGAUAUACAUAGAUUUACACACACACACACACACAGAUAUUCAGAUUUACAUACACACAGGAAAGAGAGGUAGAGACACAGACACACAGAUAUGCACACACACACACACACACACACACACACACACACACACACACCCCUGGUAAAGCAGAAUACAAGGACACAAAAGGAGAGGACUGAGAGAGCAGCAGCAGGCAAGGCUCGUAAGUGAAUGAGCAAACUGUUUCAUGUGAGGGAUUGUUUGUUUGCUGCGUUCAUUUUUUUUUCUUUCCUGUGUCCACUGUACAUAAAGCACCUGCUAUCUGAUUGGAUUGAUCUUCUCUUUCAUUCAGCAAUGAUGCUUAACAUUAGAUUCUAUUCAGCACAGAUGAGAGUGGGAGAGUGGGAUUGCUACAACAUACUGCUGAAACUGGACUCUGGGCAGACCAGUAAAGGAAAAACAGCAAAGACAGCUGGAGGAGAUGCGACACCCUGAGGUUAUGUGCAAAUGUGUAUGCUCAAAUGCAUGACCUGUUUGCAGUGCACCUCUCAAGAUUAAGCGGGUUGCUGGUAGGAGACUUGUGCGGAAGUGCAGAACCGCUCUUCGGGUUGAACAUGGUGCCAGAGCUGGGGGUGUGACCUGAGUGAUACACAGUCACUUUGCUCAGUUUCCCUGAAGAGAACUGAGAUAAUGGUUAUCCAACAUCUUUCUCCAAAAGUGUUUGCAGGUGAAAAGAUGCACUGGGAAGAGGAGAGUUUAAGUAAUGCAGAGCAGACAUCAAAGGGAUGCACACUCUGUGCUCCACAGGGGUAUUUUGUGCUUGGAAGCAUAGGAUGCCUCCGUUGCCUGGGGAAAUGAGGCUGGUCUGCACUCAUCUCUGGGAUGUCUCUUCAGGAGAUGCUGGGAAGACAAAUUCAAGUACAUAACAAUCCCUCCAUCUCUCUAGUUUCUUUUAUGGGGCAAAUCAGGUUAAUAUUAAUGUCGAGGAAAGCCAUAAAGGACAACCCUAAUGGGUAGAUUAUAGCCUAAAGGCUGGGUCUGGCAUGAGUUAAAGCCAGAGAGACAGGCUUUGUUCAUUUGUCAUUUGUUAUAAAUGGAAAUGGGGACUUCUCAACACCUGCUGCUGAAGCCAUCUUCUGUCUGUCCCAUGAGCUGCCUCUCUGAAUCGCAGCUGUGUCCCUGGUCCCCAGUUUUCUUCUGUCCAUCCUCUCUCACACAGACACUGAUCUGCCCAGAGAUACUCGUAAGAGGAUAGCAGCUUAAAAUUCUGGCUGAAUUCCUUUGGGAAAGGGCUCCAGAGUUUAUCAAACUGGAAUCCAUUCACAGUAAUGUUAUUCGUUGGACACAUUUUUCUUUUAAAUGACCAUACUUGGUCACUGAAUACUUGUGAGUUAAGGUAGUAUUCUUGUUUCUAGAACUCAGUGUAACAAUCAUGUUUUGCUAAGAAAAUUCCUGUAUUAGAAACAAAGAUUGUAUAUAAUUAAUUCAAGUACUUUAUGUAAUGUAUGUUGAUUUAACUUAAAUAUUCUUAUUCUUAAACUUUAUUACUAUAUAUUAGCAACAUGACAAGUGCCAUUUUUUAUUUUUAUAGUGAAUUAUGUCUAAAAGUUGUUACAUUCCUGGUUGAAAUUUUGGGGCAAAAUUUCCACAUGAAGAUAAUCCCGUUUUUCCUCAAGGCUUAUGUUAUAUAGUUGACUGAGUUAGGAACACUCCUCUGCAUUGGCACUUCUAAAGUCCCUUUGGACAUUCUGUUCCCCAGUGGUCAUGUUAAUAGUGCAUAUUCUUCUUUGUAGGUCUUUAAUGGGACCUUAAGUCUUCAAUUUUCAAUAUUUUUAGUGAGUGCAUUUUUGAGUAAAAUGGUUAUUUGUAAUUUUAGGAUGAAAACCACAAAUGCAAGCCUAUAUGUGAAUGUCCAUGCCUGUUUUUCAUAGCAAGUUUUUUUCUUUUAAGAAAUACUAAAUAAAAGUAGGUGUAGUGUUACAGCAAUUCCAUUAGAGGCAAGAGGGACAGGAGGGCAAGGUCCUCCUCAGCUAUACAGUGAGUUUGAAAUCAGCCUAGGCUACAUGUGAUGAUUCUGUCUCAAGGGGGAAAAAGAGAGAGAGGAGAUAGCAAAAAUAAACAUCAUAGAGUCAUAAAAGCGUUUGUUCAAAAUAGUCGCAAAUAUAAACCAGCAUAACAUGCAUGGAAAUUGAUUUCCCGAGUUAGAAGAACCAAGCGUGUAAGGGGAACAAAGGUAGAGUUCUGUCUCAUCCUUAUCAGCCUGGGGGAUCUCUUCCCUCAGUCACCCUGGAAUCGGGGUGCUCCACUUGAUAACACAGGAGUAAGUAUAAACUAUUCCAGAGCUAACAAGAAUUAGACAAUCUCUGUGGUCAAAUCUAUAUCUAUAGUACAAAAGGGCCUAUAAACCCAGGAAUCUGGGGGUGCUGGGAUGGAGAGGUUGGCUAGAAAAUGACCUUGGGUUGCUUCCUUCACCCUUUUGUCUUGAACUCUAUUUGACCUCUCCUCUGUACAAAGUCCUGCCCCUGCCAGGGAUCCCCCCUUUUUCCUCAGGUUGGGAGGUCACAGUAAAGGGAUGGAGGAUCAGUAAAUGAGGAAUUGCGUAAGUUGUCUGGUUUGAGCAUGCCAUGUAUUUUCAUCAAGCUCUCUUCUGGUCAUGCGUUUUGGUAUCACUAUUGUGAAAUACAGUGUCAUAAUAACCCAUUAAUGAUGGGAGAGCAGCAGAAGCGUGGCUCUAUGGGAACACACCCAGAUUCGGAGCAGAUGGCCUUCUACAACAUUUAUUUGGGGGAAAAUGUGUGUCUGUUACAUAACCUAAAAUAUGUCUUUUUCGCAUUUAAAAAUAUUUGGGUCAUGGUUUAAAGUUUUGAUUGGAUUGCUUUUUUAAGCUCAGAGGAAGGAGAAGGGUAACUGUAUUUUACAACGUAUUUGACAUGUUACUAAUAAAGUUUUAUUACUGGUGAAA
This is a long non-coding RNA of Peromyscus maniculatus bairdii (prairie deer mouse), 6582 nucleotides long. RefSeq lists it as uncharacterized. The record is from RefSeq and is a predicted model, not a curated record. Lineage: Eukaryota; Metazoa; Chordata; Mammalia; Rodentia; Cricetidae.